UUCUGCGUUCUUCCUUCUUCCAUCUCUUAUGUUUCUAUUUUCUCUAUCUUCCUCCUCCCACCUCAUUUUCUCUCUCUUCUGUUCCUCCUUCCAUCACAAGAGAAGACACACCUCAGCCGCCGUCUCCGUCACCUCCUCGCCGCCGUUGACCUCGCUACCGCUGCCCAUCGAUCUCGUCGCCGACAUCUCUCCUUAUCAAAUUCGUCGGCGAUCUCUCGUCCUUCUCAAGCUCAAGCUCAAGCUCAGAGACGAUCUCCACCGUCUAAUUAUCUGAAUUAUUCAGGCAAGAAAUUGUAGUUGAAAUCAUACUAUGUUUUUUGGAAAGAAGAUGAUGAUAAGGACUCAAUUCCUCUGCCUCCUCUUGUGUGUAGUGUUUUGGGUGGCUUAGCAUCGGUGGUGAGUGGUAUGCAGACAGGGGUGAGGCUGAAAGAGGAUGAUGUGUUAUCGCAGGACCUCCUGUUGCUCCGUCUCUUCAUUUCAUCUCAAGAUCCUAAGAGUUUCACACUUUGCAACGGAGAGGGGGGGUCAAGAUAUUGUUCGCCAUAGCAAAAUAAUCGGGAAGUCCGAGUGUGGUGCAGGAGAUGGUGCAGACAGGGGUGGAGACCAAGUUGUGCUUGGUUUUGCAGGUGGAUUGUGAAGCAAAGACAAAGAAGAAAACUAGAGAUAUCUUGAAGAUGUAUGCUAGGGCUUGGAAGAACUCUCCUUGGGCUCCUGCUCAUGUCUUUGGCUCUUUUUUAUUAAAUUCUAGUCCAAUUUAGAUUAGAGUAUUAAUUAAGGUUUAAAUUAUUUUUUGGAUGUACAUAAUAGGAUUGUCCUUUGAAAAUUAUUAUUAAGUUAACUAAGAUAUAUAAAUCAAAUGUUGUUUUAGUUAAAUAUAUAUGUUUUAUUUAAGAUUAAAAUUUUGAGGUA
This is a long non-coding RNA of Spinacia oleracea (spinach), 909 nucleotides long. RefSeq lists it as uncharacterized. The record is from RefSeq and is a predicted model, not a curated record. NCBI's taxonomy places the organism in Eukaryota, Viridiplantae, Streptophyta, Magnoliopsida, Caryophyllales, Amaranthaceae. The transcript is spliced from 2 exons.